RNAcentral lists this unclassified non-coding RNA (532 nucleotides) under Hevea brasiliensis (rubber tree). The record is from RNAcentral. Lineage: Eukaryota; Viridiplantae; Streptophyta; Magnoliopsida; Malpighiales; Euphorbiaceae.
GAUGGGUUCUGGAGAGCAUGCCUCAAGAAAUCAUCGACACCCAUGAACUGCAAACAAUCACUUUGGAUUACAGAAGGGAAUGCCAACAUGAUGAUAUAGUUGAUUCCCUCACAAGUGUGGAACCUAUUGAGGAUUCAGAGCUUCAUGAAACAAAUGGUUCUGUCACUGCAACCGCUGGCUACCAGGAUUGCCGAAACUUUUUACAUCUACUGAGAUUGUCAAGUGAUGGGCUCGAAAUAAACCAAGGUCGCACUGAGUGGAGGAAAAAACCCACAAGAUAAAAGGUAAAUCUCUGUACUUGUUUGGACGUCUACCAGUUUUUUAGAGGAUCCCUGCUGGUUUCUUUUUCUGUUCUUUCACUUCCAAGUAAUGUUCUGAUUAUGUUGUUAGGUUAGAUAUUGUGUUGAAAAAAUAGACAUUGCUUGGACGAAAGAGGAAAAUGUACCUAAUUUAUAAAAUUGUUUCGUGUACCUCGCCAAGAAUCUUUAAUAAACACUAAACAGAAGCAGAACAAUUGAUUAAUUUACUUGGC